GACGAACGCUGGCGGCGUGCUUAACACAUGCAAGUCGAACGGAAAGGCCCUGCUUUUGUGGGGUGCUCGAGUGGCGAACGGGUGAGUAACACGUGAGUAACCUGCCCUCGUCUUUGGGAUAACUUCAGGAAACUGGGGCUAAUACCGGAUAGGAGCUCCUGCUGCAUGGUGGGGGUUGGAAAGUUUCGGCGGUUGGGGAUGGACUCGCGGCUUAUCAGCUUGUUGGUGGGGUAGUGGCUUACCAAGGCUUUGACGGGUAGCCGGCCUGAGAGGGUGACCGGCCACAUUGGGACUGAGAUACGGCCCAGACUCCUACGGGAGGCAGCAGUGGGGAAUAUUGCACAAUGGGCGGAAGCCUGAUGCAGCAACGCCGCGUGCGGGAUGACGGCCUUCGGGUUGUAAACCGCUUUCGCCUGUGACGAAGCGUGAGUGACGGUAAUGGGUAAAGAAGCACCGGCUAACUACGUG
RNAcentral lists this ribosomal RNA (468 nucleotides) under uncultured bacterium. RNAcentral's name for it is "partial 16S ribosomal RNA". It matches the Rfam family "Bacterial small subunit ribosomal RNA", at positions 28 to 507 of the family's 1533-position model. The record is from RNAcentral.